AGCCAAUGGCAAGAUAGUCUUCAAUGACGGAAUUUCAUUUUCUAGCUCAGUCAUUUAUGCCUGCUGGGAAGGUUACAAGACUUCAGGACUAACUACACGACACUGUACGGCCAACGGGACAUGGACUGGCUCUGCCCCAGACUGCACAGUGAUCAGUUGUGGAGAUCCAGGUGAAUUGUCAAAUGGCAUCCAUUUUGGAAGGGAUUUCACCUUUAAUAAGACGGUCACCUAUCAAUGCAACCCAGGGUACCUAAUGGAACCUGUUGGUGCAUCCACCAUACGCUGUACGAAAGAUGGCACCUGGAACCAGACUAAACCCAUCUGCAAAGCUAUCACAUGUGGACCACCACC
Podarcis muralis (Common wall lizard) is the source of this 351-nucleotide non-coding RNA. The record is from RefSeq and is a predicted model, not a curated record. NCBI's taxonomy places the organism in Eukaryota, Metazoa, Chordata, Lepidosauria, Squamata, Lacertidae.